Molecule: ribosomal RNA, 301 nt
Filed under: uncultured bacterium
Lineage: Bacteria
Description: partial 16S ribosomal RNA
Rfam family: Bacterial small subunit ribosomal RNA
Source: RNAcentral
CAGUAGCCGCGGGAAUACGUAGGUGGCAAGCGUUGUCCGGAAUUAUUGGGCGUAAAGCGCGCGCAGGUGGUUUAAUAAGUCUGAUGUGAAAGCCCACGGCUCAACCGUGGAGGGUCAUUGGAAACUGUUAAACUUGAGUGCAGGAGAGAAAAGUGGAAUUCCUAGUGUAGCCGUGAAAUGCGUAGAGAUUAGGAGGAACACCAGUGGCGAAGGCGGCUUUUUGGCCUGUAACUGACACUGAGGCGCGAAAGCGUGGGGAGCAAACAGGAUUAGAUACCCGCGUAGUCCCUGUCUCUUAUAC